GUGGCUUCUCUGCACAUCAUUCACAGUUCAAAGCUCCUUUUCUCUGUGUGCUGUCAGUAAUAGAAAGAACAAACAGCAAACCAGCUUAUAGUCAAAAACCCCGCCAUCUGUGUAGGUGAUUGACCCUGCACAGGUAAUCAGGGGAUCUCCCUGACAGGUGCCUGCAAAGAGGGAGAGUGGAGUAAGUACAUCCCUUUCCGAGCACAUAGUUAAGAUAUCUGCCCUCUCUGCAUUUGAAACAAACUUCAGGGCCCACCCCACUGCCAUUUUGUGGCCUGUGCCAACCCUCCCAAUGCUGAAGUCUGCAUUUCACCCGGCAAUAAGAGUUUCCCAACUGCAACCACCAACAGAGGCUGCCACACCAUUUUGCACAGAUGCAGUUUGCAGAUUCUCUCUUUACCUUUCACAAGUGGAGUGGAGGUGAGUCACGAUUUGCUGGUUUCCAGACCACGCACCUCUUCAGGUUUCAGUCUGGGCCUCAUAGAUGCCCUGUAACCACAACAAAGAUUCAACUGUUCCCCAUUGACACAGAAUUUUGAAUACAUGCUAUUUAUUUUUCAUAGGUUCCUUGCCACAGGAUGGACAAAAAGUUUCUCAGCUCGAAAUCAUAUAGAGGAUGAAGUUUCUUCAUUGCUGUAUAACAAAGUCAGACAUGAGAGCUCACUGCAAUGAUCAUUACAACAAAGCUCUAUCAGCCAUGUCUACAUGGAGAGAUGUCUGCAUAUCUGGAGAAGAAAAAUGAGAGAAGCAGUAAAAGGAGCACAUCAGGAAAAGAAACCCAACUAAAUCUGAGCAGAUACUACAAAGGGACUGAGGUAUUUAUGGAAGGCAGCAGACAGGUUGCAGCAGCAUUAGGUAAGGGCCCAACACAGGGAAAGGCAAGGUUUGGGGAUUUGCUUCUUUUUAGUUGUUGCAUAAAAAAUAUGAUAGCUUCUAUUUCACUGCAAUCUUUUUACAAGAAAUGACAUGGGUUACACACCCUGAUUAUCGACCAGAACAUCUCAUAGCAGUCAGAAAGAAAAUGACCUCCUGGCCUUUGUCCAGCUGUAAUGAUCCCAGAUCCCAAGAAAUCAACUUGCAACUUUUGAGGAUGGGGGAGGAGGGGGAAAACCCCAACCCAAAACAAACACCAAAGACAGACAAAAGCAACCCAGCCCUUACUUUUUAACCACAAAUGAUGAACUUUGAAAGGCUGCAAUGAUUCCUUUUGGUCUGCUGUGCUAUAAAAACCUGAGAGAAUUUUGCUCACAGUUUACAAUGACAUAGUCGAG
This 1271-nucleotide long non-coding RNA is filed under the name Corvus moneduloides (New Caledonian crow). RNAcentral's name for it is "lncRNA (ENSCMUG00000019706.1)". Lineage: Eukaryota; Metazoa; Chordata; Aves; Passeriformes; Corvidae. The record is from RNAcentral.